UUUCCAGUUUGGACAAGACAAGGCUCUGGGAUACUCUAUUGCAGCCUUUAAAUGUAUACAGGGGGCUUAAAGAAAGACAGAGAAAGAUUUUUUACCAAGGCCUGUAGUUUAAAUUGAGAAACGGACAUGCUGCAUUGUCAGAUUUAUCAGGGCAGGAUCAUCCUCUCAUUGGACACACUGCUUGAACAACCAGGGCAAGCCUGUGAUGGUGUAAAGUAAUUAAUUUCCACAGAACUGUAUCAGCUCACACCAGCUGAGGUUUGGUCCUUGUACACUGUUAUCAGCAGAGAAAAAGAAAAUGAAAAUGAAAGUGAAAUUGAAAACUAAAAUGAAAAUGAAGACACACGCACCCCUGAACAUGACAGUCAUGAACUUCAGUUAUGGUUUCUUUUGUUUGGUUUGGUUUUGGUUGUGUUUCUUUAAGAUUGUGUUAUUUCUAAAAGUAACACAAUUAAAAAUCCUUCUAUAACUCUCAGGAAAAUAAAUUUAAAAAAAUGUCUUGCAAGGUUUUCUUCUUGACUUUUUCAUAGAAAUUUCAGGUAAGUGCAAAGCAGUUUAGAUGGUUAGUCAAAUAGAAUUAA
Long non-coding RNA from Lepidothrix coronata (blue-crowned manakin), 581 nucleotides. RefSeq lists it as uncharacterized. The transcript has 3 exons. The record is from RefSeq and is a predicted model, not a curated record. Lineage: Eukaryota; Metazoa; Chordata; Aves; Passeriformes; Pipridae.